This 82-nucleotide transfer RNA is filed under the name Danio rerio (zebrafish). It matches the Rfam family "tRNA". Rfam says of the family: Transfer RNA (tRNA) molecules are approximately 80 nucleotides in length. Lineage: Eukaryota; Metazoa; Chordata; Actinopteri; Cypriniformes; Danionidae. The record is from Rfam by way of RNAcentral.
GUAGUCAUGGCUGCGUGGUUAAGGCGAUCGACUAGAAAUCGGUUGGGGUAUUCUCCCACAGGUUCAAGUCCUGCUAACUAUG